This 425-nucleotide ribosomal RNA is filed under the name uncultured bacterium. RNAcentral's name for it is "partial 16S ribosomal RNA". It matches the Rfam family "Bacterial small subunit ribosomal RNA", at positions 354 to 796 of the family's 1533-position model. The record is from RNAcentral.
GUGGGGAAUCUUGCGCAAUGGGCGAAAGCCUGACGCAGCCAUGCCGCGUGAAUGAUGAAGGUCUUAGGAUUGUAAAAUUCUUUCACCGGGGACGAUAAUGACGGUACCCGGAGAAGAAGCCCCGGCUAACUUCGUGCCAGCAGCCGCGGUAAUACGAAGGGGGCUAGCGUUGCUCGGAAUUACUGGGCGUAAAGGGCGCGUAGGCGGACAGUUUAGUCAGAGGUGAAAGCCCAGGGCUCAACCUUGGAAUUGCCUUUGAUACUGGCUGUCUUGAGUACGGGAGAGGUGAGUGGAACUCCGAGUGUAGAGGUGAAAUUCGUAGAUAUUCGGAAGAACACCAGUGGCGAAGGCGACUCACUGGCCCGUUACUGACGCUGAGGUGCGAAAGCGUGGGGAGCAAACAGGAUUAGAAACCCGGGUAGUCC